This 522-nucleotide ribosomal RNA is filed under the name Bifidobacterium longum subsp. suillum. RNAcentral describes it as "bacterial SSU rRNA". It matches the Rfam family "Bacterial small subunit ribosomal RNA", at positions 165 to 702 of the family's 1533-position model. Lineage: Bacteria; Bacillati; Actinomycetota; Actinomycetes; Bifidobacteriales; Bifidobacteriaceae. The record is from RNAcentral.
AAUGCCGGAUGCUCCAGUUGAUCGCAUGGUCUUCUGGGAAAGCUUUCGUGGUAUGGGAUGGGGUCGCGUCCUAUCAGCUUGACGGCGGGGUAACGGCCCACCGUGGCUUCGACGGGUAGCCGGCCUGAGAGGGCGACCGGCCACAUUGGGACUGAGAUACGGCCCAGACUCCUACGGGAGGCAGCAGUGGGGAAUAUUGCACAAUGGGCGCAAGCCUGAUGCAGCGACGCCGCGUGAGGGAUGGAGGCCUUCGGGUUGUAAACCUCUUUUAUCGGGGAGCAAGCGAGAGUGAGUUUACCCGUUGAAUAAGCACCGGCUAACUACGUGCCAGCAGCCGCGGUAAUACGUAGGGUGCAAGCGUUAUCCGGAAUUAUUGGGCGUAAAGGGCUCGUAGGCGGUUCGUCGCGUCCGGUGUGAAAGUCCAUCGCUUAACGGUGGAUCCGCGCCGGGUACGGGCGGGCUUGAGUGCGGUAGGGGAGACUGGAAUUCCCGGUGUAACGGUGGAAUGUGUAGAUAUCGGGA